This is a non-coding RNA of Odocoileus virginianus texanus, 384 nucleotides long. The record is from RefSeq and is a predicted model, not a curated record. NCBI's taxonomy places the organism in Eukaryota, Metazoa, Chordata, Mammalia, Artiodactyla, Cervidae.
CAGGUUAUCAAUACAAGAUUUUAGGACACAUCUUAACUGAAGCAGUAUAAGUACUUCACUUUGAGAACUAAGGUUUAAGAUUCCACAUAUAAGAGAUGUCUUAUGAUACCUGGCCUUCUCUGACUUUACUCAGUAUGACAUUCUGGUCUAAAAAGAAGUUUUGAUUGUUCUCUCCGGACAAUGGAACUCAAAAGAAAACAAUCCCAAGAAGGAGAUGCUUAAUUUUGCUUGUGUGUUAGAAGAUAAAAGGCAGCAGUAAGGAGACAUUCAAGACGCAUAACAACAGUAGAGAAGACAUGACUUUGGGGCAAGAAAUGACAAGUUGUAACUCUGAAGUUAUUUCCCCAUGAGAGAAGUAGGAGGUGAGGUGAAGAUAAAAUAACC